Molecule: ribosomal RNA, 253 nt
Filed under: uncultured bacterium
Lineage: Bacteria
Description: partial 16S ribosomal RNA
Rfam family: Bacterial small subunit ribosomal RNA
Source: RNAcentral
UACGAAGGGGGCUAGCGUUGUUCGGAAUGACUGGGCGUAAAGGGCGCGUAGGCGGUUUGAUAAGUUUGGUGUGAAAGUCCUGGGCUUAACCUGGGGAUUGCACUGGAUACUGUUGGACUAGAGGUCGAGAGGGGAGAAUGGAAUUGCGAGUGUAGAGGUGAAAUUCGUAGAUAUUCGCAAGAACACCGGUGGCGAAGGCGGUUUUCUGGCUCGAAUCUGACGCUAAGGCGCGAAAGCGUGGGGAGCAAACAGG